CUUUUUACCCGUAACUUCUCCCCACAUCCCCCCGUCCCCCCUAUGUCUUCAUACCACAGCAUACCCCAGUGUCUCACCUGCAGCCCACAUCUUGCCUUCUCCCAAACAGCAUUCUGCUCCUGCAGGUUGUGAGCCCAUAUCCUCCCAUGUGCUUAUAUCCCCCUCUCCCCGCCCCACACACCCAGAGCCCCAUAGCUCCUCCAGUACCUCCUCAGACCAGGUACAUCUCCCCCACAGCCAACCUGGGACCUCAUAGAGCCCCGCAGUCCCCAACAGCACCCCUUAUCCUUGCACUGGGCUCCCACUGAACCCCCACAUAUCUUCCCUUGGACCUCCCUAACCCCCCUCAGGUCACCCCUGGGAUCUCACAGGCCCCCACAGUCCCAGACAGGACCCCGAUCAUUGUCCCAGGACGUCCAUAGCCCACCUGGGGCUCCUCUUCACCCCCGUAUCCUUCCAGAUCCCAUACAGCAGGCGGGGAAUGCAGAGCUGGCAAAGGUGUAGGGCACAGCUGUGGGUGAAAGUGACGUGGGGGGCACUGGGGAGACGGGUGCGUGGGAACGUGGGAGGAUGUGGGGGUAUGGGCCACAGCCUGCAGGAGCAGAGUGCUGCGUGGGAGAAGGCAACGUGUGAGGUAAAGGUGGGACCUGUGGGUGCGGGGACAUGGGGUGGCAUGGGGACGUAGGGGGUGUGGGGGCAUGUGGGGAGCGGUUUGGGGUCAGAGUGGGGGAUGUGGGGCGGUGUUGGAGUGCAUUUAUGGAUUUCUUCCUGAGAGGGGGUUGGGGUUCCCUGUGGCCCCAAGGUGGAGCCCUGGUCCGUAACCCCACGUGACCCCAUUACCCCAUACAACUCCGCGUGACCCCAGGGCUCCACAUCACCCAUAGCCCUGUGAGUACCAUAUGCCCAGAGGAGGCUCUGGACAGUGAUGGGGCUGUUAUUGGGUCGUUCAGGGGGUGCUUUAGGGUGGCUCUGGGGCCGCUGUAGAACAGCACUCUAUAUCUGCCCCUGACCCUCAUCUUGCCCACGUCUUCUGGGGCAAGAUGGGGGUCAAGGGAGC
Molecule: long non-coding RNA, 1057 nt
Filed under: Gallus gallus (chicken)
Lineage: Eukaryota; Metazoa; Chordata; Aves; Galliformes; Phasianidae
Description: lncRNA (ENSGALG00010003504.1)
Source: RNAcentral